Molecule: long non-coding RNA, 1431 nt
Organism: Daphnia pulex (common water flea)
Lineage: Eukaryota; Metazoa; Arthropoda; Branchiopoda; Diplostraca; Daphniidae
Exons: 8
Source: RefSeq, a predicted model, not a curated record
AGUUAACUCUUCUCUUUUUUUCUGAUCCACCUUGUUCAAAUUCAUGCAACCUUGCCCACUCCCCCUCAAUUUCAGUCCAAAAUAUUCAAAAUGGUCGCCGCCUGGAUUGCUGGUGCUGAUGGAAUGGAAUUCUUAUCUCAGUGAUUUGGUAAUAUCUUCAACUUAAGGUUUCGUGUGUCAUGGGUGCUUGUGACAAUAGAGAUGAAAUUGUCCAUUUCAAGCCGUGUCUUACAAAACUAAGGAAAUUCUAUUUGCAAGUAGAAAACCUUUCUGACAAAACAUGGUUUUCCAGUCGUUGCUGGAUGGAUUGUUUUGAGGGUAGUUCCCAUGUCUAAAGACCAAUCCUAGCCUACACCUCACCAAGAGGAUUCUUUCGACAUAUGUGUGUUGAUCCCUUUGUAUGCAGAGAGUUCAACCUACAGACGGGCCGGCAAGUUUGCAUGUCCUUCACGCUUGAAGGUCGCGGGAAACAUAACGAGUAUUACUGUCAAUGCGGUGUUGUAGAGUUUGGGUGAGAAUUAAUUGGACGUGUUGCAUCAUUAUCAAGCAGACCCAUCCCCAGCAACGUCAACCUAAAGAAGGAAAGGCUAGUUUUCAUUUCCUUCACGCUCGAAGGUCACGGAGGAGAGGUUGGGUGAGGACGACACGUGUUACAUCAUUAUCAAUCAAUUAUGGCGUUGUGCUGCUGUUGGUUGUUGUCCUUAAAUACUACACCACCAAGACUACAAUUUAUGCUGCCCGAGCUGCAUCACCAAAGAGCCCUAACCCACCCCCAGCAACGUCAACCUGCAGAAGGAAAGGCCAGUUUGUAUGUCGUUCACUUUCGAAGGUCACGGAGAUCAUUACGUAAAACUGUCAAUGCGGUGGUGUAGAGGUUGGGUGAGAACGGGAAGUGUUUGCUUCAUUAUCAAGCAGGUAAAAUAGCCGCAAGGCUUAAGAGAGGGGUCAGGGUGAGAAAAAGUAGUAUAAAAGGAGAGAGAAAAGGCCAUAAAAAUCAGUUGAGUGAGCAUCUCUGACACGGAACCGCAUCAACUGCUGUACACUAUUUGUCACCAACUGCAUUCUCCAACGUAAUACCAGUUCGCAACCAACUGUUAACUAUGGCGUCGUGCUGCUGUUGGUUGUUGUAUCCUUGAUGGUUGGGUCGACCACUGGUGUACCGAUGUUUCGUGGGUAUGGUUGAUACCAAACCGCAACGCCGCCGUUUUACUACACAACAACAACGUGCGCAACAACCGGAUACUACACUACCAAGCCCACUGAGUAUUACACCACAACCUAUGAUGUCCCGAACUACUACACCGAAGCCUCAAAGUAUAAUUCUGCCUCGAGUUACACCACCAAGGCAGCGGAGUACUACACCACCAAGGCAGCGGAGUACUACACCACCAAGGCAGCGGAGUACUACACCACCAAGGCAGCGGAGUACUA